AUCGAACGCUGGCGGCAGGCCUAACAAAUGCAAGUCGAACGAGUGGCGGACGGGUGAGUAAUGGCUGGGAAACUGCCUUAGGGAGGGGGAUAACAACUGGACACGGUAGCUAAUACUGAAUACAAUCGGAUGUGUCCAGAUGGGAUUAGCUAGUAGGUGGGGUAAAGUCUCACCUAGGCGACGAUCCACAGCUGGUCUGAGAGGAUGACCAGCCACAAUGGAACUGAGACACGGUCCAGACUCCGACGGGAGGCAGCAGUGGGGAAUAUUGCACAUUGGGCGGAGGCCUGAUACAGCGAUGGCGCGUGUAUGAAGAAGGCCUUCGGGUUGUAAAGUACUUUCAGCUGUGAGGCGUUACCCGCAGAAGAAGCACCGGCUAACUCCGUGCCAGCAGCCGCGGUAAUAC
Molecule: ribosomal RNA, 406 nt
Filed under: uncultured bacterium
Lineage: Bacteria
Description: partial 16S ribosomal RNA
Rfam family: Bacterial small subunit ribosomal RNA
Source: RNAcentral